UUUUUUUUUUCUUUUUUUUCUUCCUACUUGUUUAUAUGCCUAAUGCUGUUGUAUCUAAGUAGAUCUGAAGACCUUGCUGUUCUGCUGUCUUGUCAUGUUUUCUAUUGUGUUGUGACAACCACUGUCUAUUAUUUUCCCUUGUAACUAUUAUGGUUGUGUUGAACAGAAUCCAUGACUUCUGAAUUAAUAGAUGCUUUUCUCACAAUAGAAGUUUCCACAAAUGUAUCAAAUUUCUCUUUACCUCAUGAAAGCUGGGUUCAGAGGUCCUCAGAUGACCUUCAGAUAUAUACCUAUGGGUGUAUGGAGAGGGUGUGCAAGGGAGUGUGUGGAUAGCUUAAAAGGAGAGGAUAGAGAAAUAAGGGAAGCACUGUGGUACAAACAGAGGAGAUAUCCAGGGAUUUUAGUUUUUAAUCUGCAGUAAGUUAUCUCUAGAGUAUGAGUGGAUGGUGUUCUCCUGUAGUGAUAUUACCUGGGUGUAGAAUCAUGCUUUUCCUUACCAGUUAUGCUUCAAGGAAUGGUGCUGUCCUGGUUGGCCCUGUUGGAAGGAGAUUUACUGUGUAUGAUCAGGAGUCCUUGUAUAAGGUGAAUGUGUUCUCCUUUGUAGGAAUAGACAUCCAGCAGCAACAAAACUUACUGUGUUUCACCUUUAAAAAUGCUUGGUGAAACUCAUGUAAAGGAUUUAUCUAUUUCAGCUUCUAUUUCAUUUAGUGCCUAGGUAUUUUUCACUGCAUACUUCCAUUCUUUAUAGGAUGAGGAAUGCACACGGGUGCAGGUGCCAUGUCCUACAGGAUACUAAUAGCUCUGAUUGACUUACUACCCCUAUUUGGGUUGUCCCCACUCCACCCCUCACUAGACUAUUUCAGUGCAGCCCAGCUGAAAGAGCCUCUGCUCCUGGACUGCUCUCUGACCUGCUGGUGAAGACCCAUUACUGUCAUCACCUUGUUCUACUCAUAGUGAGUUCAUCUGUUCUGCUUGUGGUAAACCUCAUCUUUACAAGCACUUGCUAACACUGGUGUGUACGCACCUUUCUGUUAUAGAGGAGUACUUCACAGUGAUAUCUAAAAAUGCUGUGCUUAGGAGUCGUUUCAUCUACGGAAUAUAGAUGCUUUAUAAACACUGAUGUGACAUUGAUAUCUAUGAAGAUUUAAUAAGUUAUUAGGCUUUAGAGUAAAACAAUGAAAUAUGUUCAUGCGUAGCUUCUAGGAAUGAGCAAUGUACAGGUUUUGAGGCUGACACUGGGUUGCUGGAAGCUUUCCAUGUUUAUUUUUUGUUGGGAUGUGACUGUGGAGUCCACGCAACCAUACACAGUAUUGCCCAUCUUCAAGUGCAAGUAGGUGACUUUUUUCAGAGUGCUCAGCUUUGAUCUCCUUUCUACUUCACUGCUACUGAAAUGCAGCUGGGAGAAUGCUACUACCUUGGGCUUUGGUUGUGAGCUGACUGAGCAAUCUCCCCUAGUCCAGGAGAUUUAACCCAUUUUGUAUUGCAGUGCCCAGACCUGCAGUUCCCUAGGCUGUAAGAAGGCUUACAGUUAAAUCUGUGUGCUUAACAACCUGAGAAAUGGUGAAGAAGUACCAGAUGUGGAGGAUGGCUGACUAGAUAUUUGACUGAGGAGGCAAGAUCUGGCAAAUGAGGAGUGUUGGCACAUGAUAGCAAACAAGAACUUCAGGUUAAGGAUAUAGUAACAGGUACUAUUGCAGUAGAGAAUUAAUCUAUCAGGCUUUGGUUUAAGGGGUUUAAAAUGCUUAAGUGAAAAACAAGCAUUACUUUCUGUAGACCCACAGCGUUAGGUUUCUAUGAGGCAAAUAAUAGGCAGGGAAAUAUACUGCUUAGUGAGACAAGGGAGUGUUGCAGAGUAGUUACAUGGCUGUGAUAAGCAGAGAAGAUGGCAUUAUUACUUUAGACAGCUUUGAGAUUGCAGCUCUAGAUUCAAGGUUCUAGGAUGAUCAGAGGCUGUGGGGCACUGUGGUACCUCCUGGUAGAGUAGGAUUUUCACUGGUAGAGUGCUUCAGGUUAAUGAGGGAAGCAGGAAGCAAUUAGAUCUUAAUGUGCAGCUUACUAGGCAUAUCAAUGCUAAUUCAGUAAUAGCUGCAAAGGGAGAUAUUUAUCUUCUGUGCUUUGUAUGCAGUUAGAUUAGUUCACUCGGAAACCUCCUUUAAUCAGCCUGAAUAGGGGAAAUAUCCUGUCUAUCUAUGGUGAUGUUACCAUUCUGGCCCAUGGAGCAGACUGAUAUAAUGCUAAUCAAUGGGACUCCAGGCUGUGAGGCUAGAAAUAGCUGAGUGCUCUCAUGGCUGGUGCAGGGACUGUAAUUACAGAUCAGGAACAGACACUUGUGAACAUGGAAUUUUGGGGUAAAAGGAAGUGCAUGGAGCAUGUAUCAGGAAGAAGGGUUAUCCUGAAUAAAUAGAACCUGCAUUAAGCUAUUUUCACCAAAGAAGCUAUUCCUAUCUCCUCACCUUUCUACCUCUUUGCCACUGCACUCUAACAAGUGGUAAAAUCUAAUUGCUGCUUUGAUUGGGAUUCAAGAUGCCUCUGCUCUGUGCACAGCUGAUGGCUUUCAGGCAGCCAAGCUGUUCCCAAAUGAGCCACCUGGAGAUCAGUAUUAGGACAGAGCUGAGCAGGGUCUGCUGCUGUGCCAGCUGGUGUGAUGCUGUUUCCCUCACCAUCCUGCAGAACCAGGGGAAGGGCUGCUUUCCUCUCCAGGUCUGCUGCAGUUCUACUCCUUUUGAGUAGGAAAGCUCUGGGAGAAAAGAUGCUCUGUGUGAUGUGCAGUCCUGAUGUUUUUAGGGCUUGGGAUAACAGAGCACCUGCUUGUAUGUGGCAGCUGAGGCAAUUACCAAAUUGCUGGGCUGGGAGGUGGAGAAGAUGUCUUUCCUUUGGGCAACAGAUGGUAGUCAACUUCAUGCGGUAGAUAUUGAGCAAUUCCUGGGAGCCUUUUAGACCAAGAAUCAAAGCCCUCAUUCCAUUCCAACUGCAGAUCUGAGCAGUCUCCUGUGAUCUACUGCAAUUAUUACCAAUAACAGACUGUCCAUGCUCUGUGGAACUCUUCGCUCAGAAUGCAGACUUCAUAAUCUUUACUUUGUUCCUGAAUACUCUACUAACUGUAUCUAAUAACCUAAAAAUAAGGAGAAUGUAGCUUCUUCCUGGAGACCUAGCUUCCCGUGUAUUCAUACAGUUCAUUAUCUGAACUGUUCCAUUAUAAGAUACAUUCAAACUUUUCAUUGAUAUCCCUGUUUUUCUCCCUCCUCUUCUGAUGCUUUGUCACUAUGUGACAACUUAUGCAACAAAACAGGAAGGAGUGAAGGGUAAAAACCCUGUGAACUAAAAUCUAUAGAACUACCUUGCCUUUCCUUAAAGAAGGAUUGGGGAGGGAGAGCUAUUUUGAUUUCGAGGGUGAAUCUGAUGCUGAGAAAGCCUGGUGUUACAACUUCCUGCCCUCCAAGGUUCCUUGGUACCCACUGAAGCUUAGACUUGCAGCCUGCUGAAACAUGACUGUAGACCUUAGGCUGAAUUUUAUUUCAAAAAUUUCUGUGUAUGUACCUCAAUAUGCAAACACAAAAUGUGUUAGUACUGUUUUUUGAAGGUAAUAUUACAGGAGUGGUUUUCUAAAGCCUAGUGAGAGGUAAAGUACAGGUCUUCAUAGCUUAGCAUAGUAAUAUUGUUGCUAGAACAUGCAUUUUUAAAAGGCAAGCCUGCAAGCAAGUCUCAAACCAGUGAUGCUAACAUAAGAAAUUUAAUACGGUAUACUCAAUAGUAAAGAUUUUUCUUGCUGCUUUUACAUGGAGAGCUUCUUCUUGCAAGUAAGUAUAUUGGUAUAAAGCUUAGGAAUAAUACCUGAUGCCCUAUUUAUAUCCUACUGCCAGCGUGAUAUUUCUGUUUCGCACAGGGGAGAACCAAGGUCUUCUCUGUAUCUUAUCUUGUCCCAGCUCUGUAAAUGAAGCCUCUGAACUUGCUCAGGCUAAUGGCCUGCUUCCAGACCUCCCAGCCCUGGUCAGGGCAGCUGCUGCUGUUGGCAGUGGUUACAAGGAGGGAGGAAGCUGUGUGCCUUUCCUCUCAGGAGGAUACUUUCAUCCCUUCCUAGAAUGAGAUAGACCAAUGGGGAGCAUUUAAGCAAGUAGGUGAAGGUCAUGCAUGGGAAAUGUAGAGUACACAGCUGCCCUGCCUCCUUGUCUAACAGCAGAGCUAAGAGGAAGUCUCUCCUCUCUGUCUUUCUAUCCAAAAACACACCUCAUAUUUAGUCCUCGUGAGUCUGGAGCUUCAUUACUGUAACAUAUUAUGAAUCCAAUUUGAGGGCUAGUGAGGUGAACGAAGCAGUCUCCUUCCCCUAGCCUGUCCCCAGAAUUAGGAAGAGGGAGGCUGGGAGUGAGGAAGGCUGGCAGGUCAUGGCUGGGCUCAGUCCUUCAGUGAUCAAGGCAAGUUGAGUGAUGGUGGCUGGGGUACAUCCAGGCAUCCAGCUAGUCAGAUGAGUCCAUAGGGGAUGAGAAGGACCAAGGCUGGGAAGUUGACUUCUGGAUCUGGGCUGGUGAGGAGUAAGUUUGGGCUCAAGGUCACCUACAUAGCUUGGGCAGGGACCAAGGGGAGGGUCAAUGCCUCUCCCAAGGGAAAGAGGAGUGGAGGCCCCCAGCAAGCCUUCUCCUAGCUCUGUUUCCAGCAACCAGAUCCAAGGUCACACAGCUGCAUGCUGUCAAUGCUGCCUUGAGCAACAGCUGUGAAAUCCCAGGGAGGGGCAGAGGCUGUAUGGUUAAACAAAGAUCAAAGUCCACUAGAAAUUACUGGGGUCAUCUAACAGCCAUGUGGACAAGGCUACUGCAAAGGAACUAAUUAGUUUUCUGCUUGCUGCAGAGGAGGAAGCUGGGGAAAUUCCUAAUGUCCUUUUCAGUAGGAGUUCAGCAAACAAUCAGCCUGAAUUUUGAAGUAAUAGUGAAACAGGCAGAGCUACAAAUAAACAAAAUGAAAACUAAUGGAUAUCCAGGCCUGGUAGUAUUCAUCCAGGUGUUCUGGAGGUGCUGAGGGAUAGGGAUGGAGUUGCUGAGUUUGAGGUGUAUGAUAAUAGAUGAAAUUUAAUGCUGGUAAAUCUAAGUUCUGGUGAAGGCCUCACAUAAAAAUUGGGCUCUGAUUUAAUUACUGCCAUUUAAGUGUGACACUGGGUUUAUAAUAACUAUAAUUUAUUGCUCAGUACUAAUGAAAAAUACAGUGGCUAAAAGAAAAGUCAGUAUGUAGCCCAUAGGUUCAUCCUCCUCUCCACAGCUCUAUUUCCUCCAUGUUAAGAUGUGUUGCAGCAGUGGGAGAAAGAUUUUUGUCUCUCUGAGCAGACUGAGUUUUCCAUCCCUGGAAAAGGGCUGUGUGGAUGAUAUGAUACAGAUGUACAAAAUAAUGAGUGAUGUAGGAGGGGUGAAUGAGUAGAGAGACUAUUUCUUCUAGCAUGAGUACAGAGGGCCAUGAAGUGGCACUAGCAGACUAGUUCAGUAUGAACAGAGGUGGUUGUUCAUGUGGAGUGGGUGCUGCCUGUUGUGCUGCCUGCGGGAGGAUGGUGCUGGUGCAAGAAGCUGACGUGGUUUGGAAGGGACCCUGGAAAAGUACUUGGAGAAGAUUUGCCUUGAGUUUUACCCUCUAGACAAACUUCAGCAGGCUCAAGGAGUCCCUCGAAGCUGGGGAAUUGCUGGUGGGAGGCAUUAGGGUGGAAUGGUCUCCCAAAUGGUAUUUACUCUUGCCAUUUGCAGGCACAGCUGCAGGUUGGAAACUAAAGUAGGAAGACUAAGAUCUGCUCAGAUGAUUCUUCCUCUUAUGGUUUUAUACAGGUGGCGGCUUAGCACCACAGGAUAUCCAUAUUCUGUAGUGUGCUCUUGUGAAGUUGCUGCUGCUGAGGACUUAAGCGACUGCUGGCUGUGAUGGACGGGUUUCUGCUGGGCAUGUGGCUGAGUGCAGCUUGUGUUACUUGGCCACUGUGGCCUCCUGAAGUUGUGAGGGUCUUCCAGCAGAGCAGUGGCUGACUGACAGGGAAAGCUUUUGACAGAUGUUUAUUGGUGACCUGAUAGGUCAGCUAGUGGUCCACAAAUGCUUCUGCAAAGGAAAGCAGUGUUUGUGUUUGGUUCCUUUUCACCAGACUACUCUGUUGUGAGAGGAGCCUCUGCCAGCUGUGUUAAGUGAGAUGACUAAUAUCUGCCACAUACUCAUUAAACACUGUAUUUUUGAUA
Long non-coding RNA from Tympanuchus pallidicinctus (lesser prairie-chicken), 6191 nucleotides. RefSeq lists it as uncharacterized. NCBI's taxonomy places the organism in Eukaryota, Metazoa, Chordata, Aves, Galliformes, Phasianidae. The record is from RefSeq and is a predicted model, not a curated record. The transcript has 2 exons.